Long non-coding RNA from Xiphophorus hellerii (green swordtail), 288 nucleotides. RefSeq lists it as uncharacterized. The transcript is spliced from 2 exons. The record is from RefSeq and is a predicted model, not a curated record. NCBI's taxonomy places the organism in Eukaryota, Metazoa, Chordata, Actinopteri, Cyprinodontiformes, Poeciliidae.
CAGAGGAAUUCGUCAUGCCGCAGCAAUGCAGCUGGAAAAAGAAGAAGAAAAAAAAACCUUUAUGCAACAGAAUCUGAUCCUAAAGGAAAUCGCUACUGCUGCAGUUACCAGAACCAAGCAUGGACAAGCAGCAUUCAGCUUCUAUGCACCACAAAUCUGGAACAAACUUCCAGAAAACUGAAGAACAGCAGAAACACCCAGUUCCUUUAAAGGUAGACUAAUAGCCCAGCUAUUCAGAGCUGCUUUAUAAUAAAUAAAACACUUUAAUAAAUGAAACACUAACCGACA